AGAGUUUGAUCCUGGCUCAGAUUGAACGCUGGCGGCAUGCCUUACACAUGCAAGUCGAACGGCAGCGCGGGGCAACCUGGCGGCGAGUGGCGAACGGGUGAGUAAUAUAUCGGAACGUGCCCUGGAGUGGGGGAUAACGCAGCGAAAGUUGCGCUAAUACCGCAUACGAUCUAAGGAUGAAAGCAGGGGACCGCAAGGCCUUGUGCUCCUGGAGCGGCCGAUAUCUGAUUAGCUAGUUGGUGGGGUAAAGGCCUACCAAGGCAUCGAUCAGUAGCUGGUCUGAGAGGACGACCAGCCACACUGGAACUGAGACACGGUCCACACUCCUACGGGAGGCAGCAGUGGGGAAUUUUGGACAAUGGGCGCAAGCCUGAUCCAGCAAUGCCGCGUGAGUGAAGAAGGCCUUCGGGUUGUAAAGCUCUUUUGUCAAGGAAGAAACGGUGGGGGCUAAUAUCCCCUGCUAAUGACGGUACCUGAAGAAUAAGCACCGGCUUACUACGUGCCAGCAGCCGCGGUAAUACGUAGGGUGCAAGCGUUAAUCGGAAUUACUGGGCGUAAAGCGUGCGCAGGCGGUUUUUGUAAGUCUGUCGUGAAAUCCCCGGGCUCAACCUGGGAAUUGCGAUGGAGACUGCAAGGCUAGAAUCUGGCAGAGGGGGGUAGAAUUCCACGUGUAGCAGUGAAUGCGUAGAG
Molecule: ribosomal RNA, 690 nt
Filed under: uncultured bacterium
Lineage: Bacteria
Description: bacterial SSU rRNA
Rfam family: Bacterial small subunit ribosomal RNA
Source: RNAcentral